CAGCAGCCGCGGUAAUACCGGCGGCCCGAGUGGCGGCCACUAUUAUUGGGCUUAAAGCGUCCGUAGCCGGGUUGGUUAGUCUCCCGGGAAAUCUGGCCGCUUAACGGUCAGAAUUCCGGGAGAUACUGCCAGCCUAGGGACCGGGAGAGGCCGAGGGUAUUCCCGGAGUAGGGGUGAAAUCCUAUAAUCCCGGGAGGACCACCUGUGGCGAAGGCGCUCGGCUGGAACGGGUCCGACGGUGAGGGACGAAGGCCGGGGGAGCAAACCGGAUUAGAUACCCGGGUAGUCCUGGCUGUAAACGAUGCGGACUUUGUGUCGGACAAGCUAUGAGCUUGUCCGGUGCCGGAGGGAAACCGUUAAGUCCGCCGCCUGGGGAGUACGGCCGCAAGGCUGAAACUUAAAGGAAUUGGCGGG
Molecule: ribosomal RNA, 414 nt
Filed under: uncultured microorganism
Description: bacterial SSU rRNA
Rfam family: Archaeal small subunit ribosomal RNA
Source: RNAcentral